RNAcentral lists this ribosomal RNA (487 nucleotides) under uncultured bacterium. Its description in RNAcentral is "SSU rRNA". It matches the Rfam family "Bacterial small subunit ribosomal RNA", at positions 27 to 523 of the family's 1533-position model. The record is from RNAcentral.
GGGACGAACGCUGGCGGCGUGCCUAACACAUGCAAGUCGAACGAGGUUCAGUCAGUAGCAAUACUGACGAAGACCUAGUGGCGAACGGGUGAGUAGCACGUGAGCAACCUACCCCGAAGACCGGGACAACACCGGGAAACCGGUGCUAAUACCGGAUAUCCCCAUCGAGUCGCAUGGCUUGAUGAGGAAAUGGAUUCCGCUUCGGGAGGGGCUCGCGGCCUAUCAGCUUGUUGGUGAGGUAACGGCUCACCAAGGCUUCGACGGGUAGCUGGUCUGAGAGGACGAUCAGCCACACUGGGACUGAGACACGGCCCAGACUCCUACGGGAGGCAGCAGUGGGGAAUCUUGCACAAUGGGCGAAAGCCUGAUGCAGCAACGCCGCGUGAGGGACGAAGGCUUUCUGAGUUGUAAACCUCUUUCAGCAGGGACGAUUGUGACGGUACCUGCAGAAGAACGCCCGGCCAACUCGUGCCAGCAGCCGCGGUAA